UUGAGUUUGAUCAUGGCUCAGGACGAACGCUGGCGGCGUGCCUAAUACAUGCAAGUCGAGCGAAUCUUUAGGAGCUUGCUCCUGAAGAUUAGCGGCGGACGGGUGAGUAACACGUGGGCAACCUGCCUGUAAGACUGGGAUAACACCGGGAAACCGGUGCUAAUACCGGAUAAUCCUUUUCCUCACAUGGGGGAAAGCUGAAAGACGGUUUCGGCUGUCACUUACAGAUGGGCCCGCGGCGCAUUAGCUAGUUGGUGAGGUAACGGCUCACCAAGGCGACGAUGCGUAGCCGACCUGAGAGGGUGAUCGGCCACACUGGGACUGAGACACGGCCCAGACUCCUACGGGAGGCAGCAGUAGGGAAUCUUCCGCAAUGGACGAAAGUCUGACGGAGCAACGCCGCGUGAGCGAUGAAGGCCUUCGGGUCGUAAAGCUCUGUUGUUAGGGAAGAACAAGUAUCGGAGUAACUGCCGGUACCUUGACGGUACCUAACCAGAAAGCCACGGCUAACUACGUGCCAGCAGCCGCGGUAAUACGUAGGUGGCAAGCGUUGUCCGGAAUUAUUGGGCGUAAGGCGCGCGCAGGCGGUCCUUUAAGUCUGAUGUGAAAGCCCACGGCUCAACCGUGGAGGGUCAUUGGAAACUGGGGGACUUGAGUGCAGAAGAGGAAAGUGGAAUUCCACGUGUAGCGGUGAAAUGCGUAGAGAUGUGGAGGAACACCGGUGGCGAAGGCGACUUUCUGGUCUGUAGCUGACG
Molecule: ribosomal RNA, 755 nt
Filed under: uncultured bacterium
Lineage: Bacteria
Description: bacterial SSU rRNA
Rfam family: Bacterial small subunit ribosomal RNA
Source: RNAcentral